UACGUAGGGUCCGAGCGUUGUCCGGAGUUACUGGGCGUAAAGCGCGCGCAGGCGGCUCGAUAAGACUGGCGUGAAAGCCCCCGGCUCAACCGGGGAGGGUCGUUGGUGACUGUCGAGCUUGAAGACAGCAGGGGCAGGUGGAAUUCCCGGUGUAGUGGUGAAAUGCGUAGAGAUCGGGAGGAACACCCGUGGCGAAGGCGGCCUGCUGGGCUGAUCUUGACGCUGAGGCGCGAAGGCGUGGGGAGCGAACGGGAUUAGAUACCCCGGUAGUCCACGCAGUAAACGAUGCAGACUAGGCGUGGGGGGACUUGACCCCUUCCGUGCCGGAGCUAACGCGGUAAGUCUGCCGCCUGGGGAGUACGGCCGCAAGGCUAAA
This 376-nucleotide ribosomal RNA is filed under the name uncultured bacterium. RNAcentral describes it as "bacterial SSU rRNA". It matches the Rfam family "Bacterial small subunit ribosomal RNA", at positions 524 to 898 of the family's 1533-position model. The record is from RNAcentral.